CAACUUUUGACAACUGGAUCUCUUGGUUCUCGCAACGAUGAAGAACGCAGCAAAAUGCGAUAAGUACGUGUGAANNNNGAUACCGUGAACUCAUCGAAUCUUCGAACGCAUAUUG
This 115-nucleotide ribosomal RNA is filed under the name uncultured Cyllamyces. RNAcentral describes it as "partial 5.8S ribosomal RNA". It matches the Rfam family "5.8S ribosomal RNA", at positions 1 to 113 of the family's 154-position model. From Rfam's summary of the family: 5.8S ribosomal RNA (5.8S rRNA) is a component of the large subunit of the eukaryotic ribosome. It is transcribed by RNA polymerase I as part of the 45S precursor that also contains 18S and 28S rRNA. The record is from RNAcentral. Lineage: Eukaryota; Fungi; Neocallimastigomycota; Neocallimastigomycetes; Neocallimastigales; Neocallimastigaceae.